GGGAACGGAGGGGGAGCUCGGACGGGACCAGUGCUGGAGCCCUGCGGAGCCUCCUCUUGCAGCACCGGGCCCCGCCGGCUGCCGGGGGGAUAAAGACUCGAGAAGCAGCCCAUGCCACCAGGAUUCUGGCCAUUGAUGACAGUUACACAUGCCGUGUGAGACCACAGCCACUGGAUAAUUAACCAGAUAGAGACCAGAUGGGUGAGCACAGACCCCAGACACCAAAGAAGGCAAGUCAUGGACACAAGCAGAGCUGUAUGCUGGUUUUAAUGUUCCUAAGAACUAGGAAACAGAAAUCAAAAAUAGACUUUGCUCUUCUUGAUAAAAGUAAUAAAAUGGUUAGCGGUGUUAAAUUAAUCCUUACAAAACAAAACCCAAGGAGGUUAAAUAAAGCCCGGAGGCUCCGCAUAAAAACCACGACUACAAAACAGCUGCAAAGACGUCUUUACACACCAAAGAAACUCCUCCACUCCUCC
Long non-coding RNA from Ficedula albicollis (Collared flycatcher), 476 nucleotides. RefSeq lists it as uncharacterized. The transcript is spliced from 3 exons. The record is from RefSeq and is a predicted model, not a curated record. Lineage: Eukaryota; Metazoa; Chordata; Aves; Passeriformes; Muscicapidae.